This is a long non-coding RNA of Mastomys coucha (southern multimammate mouse), 537 nucleotides long. RefSeq lists it as uncharacterized. The record is from RefSeq and is a predicted model, not a curated record. The transcript has 2 exons. NCBI's taxonomy places the organism in Eukaryota, Metazoa, Chordata, Mammalia, Rodentia, Muridae.
CUCUCCAGAACUGGAAAGAGGGGCCAGAGUGAGCGGACACUGUCCUGGACACUGGGCCCAGGGAACUCUCCAGAACUGGAAAGAGGGGCCAGAGUGAGUGGACACUGUCCUGGACACUGGGCCCAGGGAACUCUCCAGAACUGGAAAGAGGGGCCAGAGUGAGCAGACACUGUCCUGGACAGAUGCUACAGAGUGGAUCAGGUGUGAGCUCUCCGCCACUGCUCCAGCAUGAUGCUUGCAUGCCUGUCUGCCUACUUGUCUGUCUUCCUGCCACAGUCCACCCCACUAUGAUGCUUAUGGACUUGAACUUUGAACCUGUAAGCAAGCUCCCAAAUAAUUGGUCAUGACAUCUCACAGCAAUAGAACAGUAACUAAGACACCACUCCUACUACACUGCUCUUCUCCAUCUCAGUUUCACUGUUGACUCUGCUAAGUGGAAGGCAAGGAUGGCAAGGAUGGCUGCCAGAAGCUCCAGACUAUCAUCCUCCAUGGUACGGGUUUCUAGUGGGAAAAAUAAACAGCAUCUCUUCCUAGCAA